UACGGAAGGCAGCAGUGGGGAAUAUUGCACAAUGGGCGAAAGCCUGAUGCAGCUAUGCCGCGUGUAUGAAGAAGGCCUUAGGGUUGUAAAGUACUUUUCAUCGGGGAGGAAAAAACAAAAACUAAUAAUUUUUAUUUUCUUUGACGUUACCCGAAAAAGAAGCACCGGCUAACUCCGUGCCAGCAGCCGCGGUAAUACGGAGGGUGCUAGCGUUAAUCAGAAUUACUGGGCGUAAAGAGUACGUAGGUGGUUUUUUUAAGUUCAGAUGUGAAAUCCCUGGGCUUAACCUGGAACUGCAUUUUGAAACUGAAAUACUAGAGUAUCGUAGAGGGAGGUAGAAUUCUAGGUGUAGCGGUGAAAUGCGUAGAUAUCUGGAGGAAUACCUGUGGCGAAAGCGGCCUCCUAAACGAAUACUGACACUGAGGGUGCGAAAGCGUGGGGAGCAAACGAGGGAUUUAGAUACC
RNAcentral lists this ribosomal RNA (464 nucleotides) under uncultured bacterium. RNAcentral's name for it is "bacterial SSU rRNA". It matches the Rfam family "Bacterial small subunit ribosomal RNA", at positions 340 to 786 of the family's 1533-position model. The record is from RNAcentral.